GUCUCAAACUAUAAUUAAAAUAACAAGAAAGAAAGAAAGAAAAAAAAAAGAGCAUGUUUAAAGCCCACCUUUAUGUGGAAGUGCCUUGUCUAACUAUGAAUGAGCAAUGCUUUUUUAAUCUAAAUGAUUCCAUAAACCUUGAUUCGAAAUCUCCCUUUCUUACUCAUGAUCAAAAACCCUCCCUAAGCAGAUGACAACCUCCUAUUUUAUCCUUUUCUCUAAUCAUUAUCUGAAUCAUUCACAAGAGCCUUACAUUCAUUUAGAUGCCCUAAACUUAGA
This 279-nucleotide long non-coding RNA is filed under the name Elaeis guineensis (African oil palm). RNAcentral describes it as "long non-coding RNA (EGUI_LNC075258)". Lineage: Eukaryota; Viridiplantae; Streptophyta; Magnoliopsida; Arecales; Arecaceae. The record is from RNAcentral.